AGCUCCAAUAGCGUAUAUUAAAGUUGUUGCGGUUAAAAAGCUCGUAGUUGGAUCUCAACAGCCGUGAAUCGGUUCCCUUUGUCGUUUUCCUGCUUUGUAGGCUUUGCUUUUGCUGGUGUGUUAGUGGUGCUCUUGAUCGGUUGUCUCUGGAUGCCAGCAGGUUUACUUUGAAAAAAUUAGAGUGCUCAAAGCAGGCUAAAAUGCCUGAAUAUUCGUGCAUGGAAUAAUAGAAUAGGAUGUCGAUCCUAUUUUGUUGGUUUUCGGGACUCGACAUAAUGAUAAAUAGGGACAGUCGGGGGCAUUUGUAUUCAAACGACAGAGGUGAAAUUCUUGGACCGUUUGAAGACAAACUACUGCGAAAGCAUUUGCCAAGAAUGUUUUCA
This 383-nucleotide ribosomal RNA is filed under the name marine copepod environmental sample. Its description in RNAcentral is "SSU rRNA". It matches the Rfam family "Eukaryotic small subunit ribosomal RNA", at positions 587 to 972 of the family's 1831-position model. The record is from RNAcentral. Lineage: Eukaryota; Metazoa; Arthropoda; Copepoda.